This 1877-nucleotide ribosomal RNA is filed under the name uncultured bacterium. Its description in RNAcentral is "bacterial LSU rRNA". It matches the Rfam family "Bacterial large subunit ribosomal RNA", at positions 189 to 1973 of the family's 2925-position model. The record is from RNAcentral.
GGAAGUGAACCAUCUCAGUACCCUCAGGAAGAGAAAGCAAAUGCGAUUCCCUCAGUAGCGGCGAGCGAACGGGGAACAGCCCAAACCGGUGACGUGCAAGCCUAGGGGCGUUGCGUCGCCGGUGUCGUGGGUCGGAAUCUGAGCUCACCCUAGCGGGCUCAGGGAGUCAAAAAGCGGCGUGCUAGUCGAAGUGAGUUGGAAAGCUCCGCCAAAGACGGUAACAGCCCGGUAGACGAAAGUGCUCCGCCUCCCGAAUCCGCACCCGAGUACCGCGGGACACGUGAAACCCCGUGGGAAUCUGGGAGGACCAUCUCCCAAGGCUAAAUACUCUCCUGCGACCGAUAGUGAACCAGUACCGUGAGGGAAAGGCGAAAAGAACCCCUACUAGGGGAGUGAAAUAGAACCUGAAACCGCAUGUCUACAAGCAGUGGAAGGGCCAUGUCGGUCCGGCUUCGGCCGGGCUCGACGGCCCGACCGCGUGCCUUUUGCAUAAUGAGCCGGCUAGUUAGUUUGUGCAGCAAGGUUAAGCCGAAAAGGCGGAGCCGAAGCGAAAGCGAGUCUGAACAGGGCGUUCAGUUGCACGGACUAGACGCGAAGCUGUGUGAUCUACCCUUGGCCAGGGUGAAGUAGGGGUAACACCCUAUGGAGGCCCGAACUAGUGGAGGUUGAAAACUCCUUGGAUGAGCUGAGGGUAGGGGUGAAAGGCCAAUCAAACUCAGUGAUAGCACGUUCUCCCCGAAAUAGCUUUAGGGCUAGCCUCAUGCGUUCACUGACGGAGGUAAAGUACUGGAUGGACUAGGGGGCUUCACCGCUUACUGAAUCCAACCAAACUCUGAAUGCCGUCAGUUCAGAGCAUGGGAGUCAGACAGUGGGGGAUAAGCUCCAUUGUCAAGAGGGAAACAGCCCAGACCGCCAGCUAAGGCCCCGAAGUGCAGGCUAAGUGGGAAAGGAUGUGGAGACGCCCUGACAGCCAGGAGGUUGGCUUAGAAGCAGCCAUCCUUUAAAGAAAGCGUAAUAGCUCACUGGUCAAGCGGCUCCGUGCCGAUAAUAUAACGGGGCUAAAGCCUGCCGCCGAAGCUGCGGAUUCCCGGCAACGGGAGUGGUAGGGGAGCGUUCCAUGCGGAGUGAAGGUCGACCGUAAGGACGGCUGGACUGCAUGGAAGUGAUUCUGCCGGCACAAGUAGCGACAAUCCGGGUGAGAACCCCGGACGCCGAAAGCCUAAGGUUUCCUGAGGAAGGGCAGUCCUCUCAGGGUUAGUCGGGUCCUAAGGUGAGGCCGCCAGGCGUAGCCGAUGGACAGCAGGUCAACAUUCCUGCACCAGUUGACGCGCGUCAUACCGAUGGGGUGACGCGGAAGGGCAAGCGUACGCACUGAUGGACGUGUGCGGCCGUUGGCGUAGGAGGAGCUCCAGGCAAAUCCGGGGCUCAUCAACUCCGAGGCCUGCGGGGAAGUGCGGCUUCGGCCAAACCAACUCGCUGACCCCAUGCCGCCAAGAAAAACCUCUAGGAAGCUCGUCAGCUGUCCGUACCGUAAACCGACACAGGUAGGCAGGGAGAGAAUCCCAAGGCGUAUGAGUGAUCUCUCGUUAAGGAACUCGGCAUAUUGGCUCCGUAACUUCGGGAUAAGGAGUGCCCCCGUCAGGUGAAGGGACUCGCUCCCUGAGCCGAGGGGGGUUGCAGUGACCAGUCCCAGGCGACUGUUUACCAAAAACACAGGACUCUGCAAACGUCGAAGCGGACGUAUAGGGUCUGACGCCUGCCCGGUGCCGGAAGGUUAAGAGGAGAGGUUAGCAUCUUCGGAUGCGAGGCUUUGAAUCGAAGCCCCGGUAAACGGCGGCCGUAACUAUAACGGUCCUAAGGUAGCGAAAUUCCUUGUC